This 690-nucleotide ribosomal RNA is filed under the name Flavobacterium sp. T69.09.B.RBT.MI.W.Kidney. RNAcentral's name for it is "bacterial SSU rRNA". It matches the Rfam family "Bacterial small subunit ribosomal RNA", at positions 60 to 752 of the family's 1533-position model. The record is from RNAcentral. Lineage: Bacteria; Pseudomonadati; Bacteroidota; Flavobacteriia; Flavobacteriales; Flavobacteriaceae.
AGUCGAGGGGUAUGUUCUUCGGAACUAGAGACCGGCGCACGGGUGCGUAACGCGUAUGCAAUCUACCUUUUACAGAGGGAUAGCCCAGAGAAAUUUGGAUUAAUACCUCAUAGUAUUAUAGAAUGGCAUCAUUUUAUAAUUAAAGUCACAACGGUAAAAGAUGAGCAUGCGUCCCAUUAGCUAGUUGGUAAGGUAACGGCUUACCAAGGCUACGAUGGGUAGGGGUCCUGAGAGGGAGAUCCCCCACACUGGUACUGAGACACGGACCAGACUCCUACGGGAGGCAGCAGUGAGGAAUAUUGGACAAUGGGCGCAAGCCUGAUCCAGCCAUGCCGCGUGCAGGAUGACGGUCCUAUGGAUUGUAAACUGCUUUUAUACGAGAAGAAACACUCCGACGUGUCGGAGCUUGACGGUAUCGUAAGAAUAAGGAUCGGCUAACUCCGUGCCAGCAGCCGCGGUAAUACGGAGGAUCCAAGCGUUAUCCGGAAUCAUUGGGUUUAAAGGGUCCGUAGGCGGUUUAAUAAGUCAGUGGUGAAAGCCCAUCGCUCAACGGUGGAACGGCCAUUGAUACUGUUAGACUUGAAUUAUUAGGAAGUAACUAGAAUAUGUAGUGUAGCGGUGAAAUGCUUAGAGAUUACAUGGAAUACCAAUUGCGAAGGCAGGUUACUACUAAUGGAUUGACGCUGAUGG